This 382-nucleotide ribosomal RNA is filed under the name uncultured eukaryote. Its description in RNAcentral is "SSU rRNA". It matches the Rfam family "Eukaryotic small subunit ribosomal RNA", at positions 587 to 972 of the family's 1831-position model. The record is from RNAcentral.
AACUCCAAUAGCGUAUAUUAAAGUUGUUGCAGUUAAAAAGCUCGUAGUUGGAUUUCUGGUGGGAGGGAUCGGUCCAGCACACUGUGUUGGAACUAGAUCCUCCUGCCAUCCUUGGGUGGAUCUUGUCUGACAUUAAGUUGUCAGUCAGGGGAUGCCCAUCGUUUACUGUGAAAAAAAUUAGAGUGUUCAAAGCAGGCUUAUGCCAUUGAAUAUAUUAGCAUGGAAUAAUAAGAUAGGAACCUGGUGCUAUUUUGUUGGUUUGCGUAACGAGGUCAUGAUUAAUAGGGACAGUUGGGGGUAUUUGUAUUCAGUAUUCAGUGGUGAAGUACUUAGACCUACGGAAGACAAACUACUGCGAAAGCAUUUACCAAGGAUGUUUUCA